UUGUAUUUAAUCAGUUUUCUACUCAAAAUGUAUGUUCACAAUCAACUUGUUGUCCAUGGUUUGGAAAAUUACCUGGAUACAACAAAAACAAACCAAAAAUGUGCCUAGAGUCAGCUAAUAGCAGAAGCAAACAGAAUCAACUUCAAAAACCAGUAACACCAAAUAAAAAUCCAUUUCUUCAAACCAGUAAAGAGCCCAAAUGAACAACAAAUUACAGAGUCUCGAAAAUCUGAUUAGCUAAGAAGUUCUAAGGCAUAAUUAGACCAGUUUUGACCAAAGAAAUGUAGGGAAUUUUUAAUAUUCUUUCAAAGUCUUUAAAGCUCAGCCAUUUUUUUAGUAUUUUUCAAUCUCCAAAAUCUGACUUGUGUGUGAAGAAACAAUGCUUUUAUAAGGAACUUUUUGGACAGCAGAAAUGAGUCAAGUUUUUGCCCUUUACCCCUUUUCAAAUUUUCAUUUUUGCUCAUAUGUCCUUAGUCUGAAAAUCAGCUUUCUAAAUUAGUCCCAAUCCCAUCUUUUAGGCAGCUUCCUAAGUUAGUUACAAGAGAUUCCCUAGCCUAUAAUUCCUAAACUAACCCUUAAGAACCCUGUUUUUACCCCAGCCUAGCUCAUGGGUCAAGUUGACCCAAUAGCUUAAACCAAAAUGAACGGGCUGCUUUUUGCAAAUGGGUUAGAAACGACCUAAAGCCCAAACAAUAAACUAAUCCAACUAAAUUCAUUAAGCAUAUGGGAAACAGCAGAACACAAACACUUGAAUUAUUUCAAAAAUUAAAAAUUUGAACUAAGUGACCAAUUAAUAAUACAAAUGGGCAUAGAAUUAACUAGGUUAUUAAAUCGAAACAACCUAAUUAAAUUAAACUAUGUGACUAAAACAAAAGGCAAAAUCAGAGGUUUAAGCAUGACAUUAAUAAAACUAAACAGACCACUGAAAAUCAGAGAACAAGCUUUUAAGAUUUGAAAAAGAAAACUGAACACAAAAUUAAUCUAAAGGGAACCUAGGUUCAGGACCUUGCUCAAAUUUCAUUCAAAGUAAAAAAAAAACUAAAGAAAAGGAGAGGAAAAGAAGAGAAAUAAGACAGUGAAACAACAAGAACGGACAAAGAGAAGAAGAAAACUUAACAAAUCAAAAUCAAUACCCACUGGAGACAUUGAUUUAAACGAAACUAAUGUUAAUCAUUUGUUCUUUGUCAAGAACAACUGAAUAAGAUCAGUUUGCGUUGGAUCAAACUUCAAACUCGAAAGAAACAGAAGCCUAUGGUCAUGCAUGCCAACGGGUUCAACGGAAAUUGAUUUUGGACUUUUAGGGUUCGAACUCAAAUUUACAAUUCGAGGGGUUAUGGACAGAUUCGAGGAAAAUUGGUUGGGGAUUGGGAAAAGGGAUGAUGUGAGGGUCUUGUGGUGUAGAUUUGGGGUGGAUUGGAUGCGGCGCCGCCGGCUGGAGAAUUGGGGCGGCGCUAGGGUUUAGGUUAGUCUUUGAAGAGGGAGAUGGGGAGUGAGAGAUAUGAG
RNAcentral lists this long non-coding RNA (1503 nucleotides) under Nicotiana tabacum (common tobacco). Its description in RNAcentral is "long non-coding RNA (NTAB_LNC012456)". The record is from RNAcentral. Lineage: Eukaryota; Viridiplantae; Streptophyta; Magnoliopsida; Solanales; Solanaceae.